Molecule: long non-coding RNA, 2555 nt
Organism: Apis cerana (Asiatic honeybee)
Lineage: Eukaryota; Metazoa; Arthropoda; Insecta; Hymenoptera; Apidae
Source: RefSeq, a predicted model, not a curated record
UUGAAUCACUAAAUCCACUAGAAAUCUCUCACCAAUCCACUCGCGCAACGAAAACACUAUCGUACAUCUACGCGUAAAUUUGAACCAACAAAACGGAGCAAAGGAAAGAAGUCGAUUCGAACGAAACAGAGGUAAACGGUGCACGCGAAUAAUCCUCCUAAAUACGAGCCGAAUCGAGCGUGUAUAACGACAAGGCACCCUUGUUCGAAUAAUAAAUCUCGGCCCAACAACAUUACCGAGCGACAAAAGGAUCGACAUGGGCGUGACUACCGCGUGUCGUUGCUCGUUUCGAUCGUGAGAGAUGGAGACGUCAACUUUUGUCGCGAUUCGUCUCGGGCCGAUGUGUCGCCACCGAGGAUCGAGUGGCGUUCGAAUCGGUGACGUGUGCUGCGUACACGGAGCGAGUGAAUUUUCGCCGCGUGCUGCUCGUCCACGCCGAUUAUAAUCCCGCUCAUUGUUCGCGAUGGGAUCGGCUCGAGCCGCGACGAAUUCGCAGCUGAACGAUGAUUGUUUUUCGGGAAAGUGGGUGAAAUGGUAAUAUUCGAGGAGAGAAGGAGGCUGUUGGAUCGAUCUCGACGCGUUUUGGAAAACGUGCCGUUCGAUUUCGAAGAGGUCGAUGAUUAGAAUUGAAAUAGCGAAUAAUGAGAAUGACUAGAUGUAUCAUGGAAGGGAUUGCGAUUGGAUCGAUUACGACGUAUUUUCAAAUAUACGUAUAAUUUUGGUUAGAAAGAGGUUAUGAUUGUUAACAGAUAUACUGCGAGCAAAUUCGACGAUCACUUCGAUAGACGAGAGAAAUAAUAAUCGUAAGAUCACAUGUGGGGAUCGGCGAAGCGGAAUCGAAUCUAUCAGUAUCGGUACUUUUUUAGGGAAAUGACAGAAUUGUGUCGGCGAAAAGGGUGUCGAAGCAAAUAAGUGCAGUCGCGAUACGACGGGUGUUCGCUCGCUAACAAUAAGUGAUCGAUGGUCGGGUUCCUGACUCAGCAGACAUUCGCGAAACCGAACACCGUGCCUCGAUUUUUGCGCGCAAAUAUGCACGCGACAGACGCCAACAAGCAUGUACCUUAACGUGCCACGGCAUGUAUUACCUAACUCCGAUAUUCAUAGACUUUGCAAAUGUCUUAAACAGAUUAAAAAGCGGGGAAAAGUUUUUACGAUACGGCCGAUGAUUACGAAAAAUAUAACCUAACCUAACCUAACCUUUUUUAACACGUAAUUUCGUUAUAUAUACGUACACUUUUUAAUUCGUUUCGAUCUCUUUGAUUAGACAGGAUAAUAUAUUUAUAACUUUUAGAAUAGUAUAAUUUUACCAUAUAAUUGUUAUUCUUACACAAAAAUUUAAUACGAAUUAUCUUUCGAUUCUGAACGCACAUAUGGAGCACACGUUUAAUUAUUCGAAUGAACUCUCGAUUUUGACUAGUGGAAAAACAUUGAAAAUUAGAAUCGUAUCCAAACGAUCAUCCGUCGCGAAGAAUUUCAAAGUAAUUACACCGGCCCUGCACCAUAGCUCUCGCAUAAAAAGGAAGACUAGCCGCGUGUAAACGAUCUCGAGGCUCGUGUUAUGAAGAAGAAGAGGAAGGAAAAAAGAAGGAAAGAAAAAGGAAGAAGGGAGGUGAAACCGUGAACCACCUAGGAGCGUAACAUUAGCCUCGAGGAGGAUCGCGCUUCUCUCACAGGCGCAGUAAACGGCGUGCAAAUCCUAGACACGUUGCUCGAAAGGAAAAAACGCGCGGCACCGCGUAUAAGGUGACCCAUCGACCGGUCACCUGCCGUUGAAUAACGAGGACACGCUAUCCAACCGGAGGAUACCUAACAUCCUCCAAGGAUGGCAGAUGACCGUCGAUGGGAAAUGGACCACCUUCGAUGAUGUCCACGACGAUGAAAAUCACACCGUCCCGUGUGCCGAUCGCUCUUUCCACGUAAGAACGAUCCCGUGAGAAUUUUUGCACCACUUUGGAAUCCUCCGAGGGAGGGGUUUAGGUUGCAGCGGAUGCUGUUAAGGGGCGAAAGGAAAGCCACAAUAUCCACGUCCACCUCGUCGAAGACGGUGCACAAAGACACGGAAAAGAGGGGGAUGAAUCGGCUCGCAAUGAAUGCACGCGCACCUCCCGGAUUUAAAAUCUGCUCGCUCCAAAUCGCGUUACGGUCGCGGGACAGCGACGCGGGGGGGCGAAGGGAUUAAACGGCAGAGCGACAGUGCCGGUUUUCCACGGUGCUCGCCGCCGCUGGACUUCUUGAAACCGCAGAUGCGACGUUUCAAAGUGUCGUUUCGCGAUCCCAGCCUUGUUACGCGCGUAAACGCGAUUCGCGCCACGAGAGGAUAAAGGGGCGACGAAUUUCUUCCCUUCUCGUCGACGAUAUUCUUCCUUGCCGAAUUUUUUAUUUUCGCACUGGGAACAGUACAACACUGUGGAGAGAUUGGUGAAAACAAAUUUUUGUUGUUUAUCGCGUACAGUAAUUCAAAACGAUUUUCUUAUUUCUCAUAAUAUAUUAAUCACGAUUUGUAAUUUUGGUAUAUAGUUUGAUUUGUUAAUUUUGUAAUUUUCAAAUUUUAGCUC